Molecule: non-coding RNA, 618 nt
Organism: Salvelinus sp. IW2-2015
Lineage: Eukaryota; Metazoa; Chordata; Actinopteri; Salmoniformes; Salmonidae
Source: RefSeq, a predicted model, not a curated record
GUAGUAGAGUGUUUAAUUGUUUUACAGCUGUGUAGUAAAGUAGUAGAGUUUCAUUGUUUUACAGCUGUGUAGUAAAGUAUAUCAGUAGUGUGUUUCAUUGUCUUACAGCUGUGUAGUGCGUCCAGAUCACAGUAUGCUGUAAGUCAUUUUGGCUUUCUGUUUUCCAGGUCCUAGCCAAUCUGGUGUUGGAGGAGCUUCAACCCUCUCUACAGACAGAACUGCUGGCCAGACUGAAGGGAAAGAAAGCAGGGAGGAAGAGAGUCUGGUUCACCACGUUGGAAGCCGCGUACUACCUGGUCCAGGACCAGCUGAGGGAGGGUCUGAAGGGUCUGAAGGAGGAGUGUAAAGAGACAGCCAGGUCUCAUGAAGCUCUGCUUCGUUCUGAUAUGGACCAGAUAGCCAGUUCUAGAACUUUCCUGCAGGCCAAGCUACAAGCCUCCGUCAGUGAUCCAGCAGUAAAGUUCUGCAGCGAGAACGUGUCUCCGUACCUGGCGUCCAUCUUGGAAGAGCUGAUGUCUCCGGUGACGGGGGGUUUCCAGGGGGUCCGGCUUCUCCUGGAGGGGGAGAUAAGCGCUCUCUGUCUGGGCUUCCCCGAGGGAGGGGGGCAGGAGGGGUUAA